This 513-nucleotide ribosomal RNA is filed under the name uncultured bacterium. RNAcentral describes it as "partial 16S ribosomal RNA". It matches the Rfam family "Bacterial small subunit ribosomal RNA", at positions 28 to 507 of the family's 1533-position model. The record is from RNAcentral.
GACGAACGCUGGCGGCGUGCUUAACACAUGCAAGUCGAACGAGAGCGUAGAGAAAGCUUGCUUUUUCUACAAUCUAGUGGCAAACGGGUGAGUAACGCGUAAACAACCUGCCCUACGGAUGGGGACAACAGCUGGAAACGGCUGCUAAUACCGAAUACGUUCCGAAAGUCGCAUGACUAUCGGAAGAAAGGAUGGCCUCUAUUUAUAAGCUAUCGCCGGAGGAGGGGUUUGCGUCUGAUUAGCUAGUUGGAGGGGUAACGGCCCACCAAGGCGACGAUCAGUAGCCGGUCUGAGAGGAUGAACCGCCACAUUGGCACUGAGACACGGUCCAGACUACUACGGGAGGCAGCAGUGGGGAAUCUUCCGCAAUGGGCGAAAGCCUGACGGAGCAACGCCGCGUGAGUGAAGACGGCCUUCGGGUUGUAAAGCUCUGUUAUACGGGACGAAUAAUCUUGUGGUUAAUACCCACGAGAAGUGACGGUACCGUAAGAGAAAGCCACGGCUAACUACGUG